UAUGAACGCUAGCUACAGGCUUAACACAUGCAAGUCGAGGGGAAACGAUGAGAGAGCUUGCUCUCUUAGUCGUCGACCGGCGCACGGGUGAGUAACGCGUAUCCAACCUGCCUCUGACCAAGGGAUAACCCGUCGAAAGUCGGACUAAUACCUUAUGCAGUCGUCGGAAGUCAUCUGAUGACGACGAAAGAUUUCAUCGGUGAGAGAUGGGGAUGCGUCUGAUUAGCUUGUUGGCGGGGUAACGGCCCACCAAGGCGACGAUCAGUAGGGGUUCUGAGAGGAAGGUCCCCCACAUUGGAACUGAGACACGGUCCAAACUCCUACGGGAGGCAGCAGUGAGGAAUAUUGGUCAAUGGGCGUAAGCCUGAACCAGCCAAGUAGCGUGCAGGAUGACGGCCCUAUGGGUUGUAAACUGCUUUUAUGCGGGGAUAAAGUGAGGGACGUGUCCUUCAUUGCAGGUACCGCAUGAAUAAGGACCGGCUAAUUCCGUG
RNAcentral lists this ribosomal RNA (491 nucleotides) under uncultured bacterium. RNAcentral describes it as "partial 16S ribosomal RNA". It matches the Rfam family "Bacterial small subunit ribosomal RNA", at positions 29 to 507 of the family's 1533-position model. The record is from RNAcentral.